UUCUGCCUACCUCUCGCGCGCCGCCCAGGACCCUUACCCGCCACUGCGUCUUGGCCCCGCGCAUUCCCGCCCGAGGGACCCGCGCUAAGGCGGGUCUGACUCUCCGAUGCCACCUGCCGCUCACAUCCACUGAAAUGGCCUCAUUGCUCGCAGACACAGCGGAUAGGGUGCCCCAGUGUCUCCUGGAGCUGUAGCGUUGGAAGUUCUCCGGUUUAAAGGUGGCUGCAGAAGCUGGGGUCGGGCUGUGCCCAGGAGUGGAAGGCUGGGCCAGAGGCCUCCUGCUAAGGCCACACAGAAGUCCAGGAACAUGCAUUUUCCUCCCCCUUGUCUCACCUGCUCCUCCACCUC
Molecule: long non-coding RNA, 348 nt
Organism: Octodon degus (degu)
Lineage: Eukaryota; Metazoa; Chordata; Mammalia; Rodentia; Octodontidae
Exons: 3
Source: RefSeq, a predicted model, not a curated record